UUGCUCGAAUUUGUCCGAAUUAUCAUCACCGUGGUAUUAGCCACAACAAGAUAUCGGCAGCAUUCACUGUAAAGUUUUCGCUGUGUAUAUAAUACUUGCGAUAGUCAUAAUUUUCUUUGAGAGUGUGAAUUUCUGUAGCUAUCAUCUCAAUUUAAAUAAAAAAAAUAUCAUUUUACUAUUACCAAUAAAUAUUUCAGUUAUAUAUUUAAAUUGUAUCAUCACAAAUAAUCAUAAACAAUGGCGGGCGAACAACAGCAAUUUUUUCUUAAAUGGAAUGAUUUCCAAUCAAAUAUGGUAUCGUCUUUUAAACAUCUACGAGAUGAAAAAAGCUUUACUGAUGUGACACUAGCCUGUGAUGGACAAACAUGCAAAGCACAUAAAAUGGUACUAUCCGCAUGUAGUCCUUAUUUCAAAUCUCUUCUUGAGGAAAAUCCGUCCAAGCAUCCCAUAAUUAUUUUGAAAGAUGUAGCUUACAAUCAUCUACAAGCAAUAUUGGAAUUUAUGUAUGCUGGAGAAGUUAAUGUUUCUCAAGAUCAGUUACCAGCAUUUUUAAAAACAGCAGAUCGGCUCAAAGUUAAAGGAUUAGCUGAAGCGCCAGGUGUUAUUGGAAGCGUGCGAAGUGAAAAAGUGUAAUGAAUGCGUUUAAAAACAAAGUGAUUAAAUAAAUAAACUGGAGCGUUAUACAUACAUAAAACACUAAUACAAAUGAAAGUGCUGAAAUUAAAUACAAGUAAGCAGGUCAUCAUAGUUUUAUAUAAAAAUUGGCCGGGGGCACUUGUAAAUCUACACAAUAUCUAUCAUUUAAAUAGAAAAUGUUUAUAAAAAUCAUCCAAUCAGCCUAAUAUUAAUACAUUAAUUAUUUACACAAUUAUUAUUUUGCACAUAUUCUCAUUUUAAUUAUGUUUUGAUAACAUUAUUUAUAUGUAAUUAUUAAAAAUAACAUAUGUAUCAUUUAUAAAAGUAUUUAUCUGAUUUACAACCCCGGUCAUUUAAAUGAAGGUUUUUUAAUCAAGUUUACUAGAAGUGUUACAUCAAUUUAUGUUUAUGUAUUAUUAAUUAUUAACUGAAAUAUAUCAUGUUAAAAUAGCGUUUUACUAAUUGUUUAUAUAAAAUAGAAUGUGUAUUAAUUAGAUCUUUUAUAAUCUUAUGUAUCUUUAAACGCACUUCUAGUAUUCAUGAACUACCUUUACCAAAUACUGCCAGGAUCGUACCGGCGUAUUUACAUUAUUACCGAUAGACCAAAUUUAUUUAUGAUAAUAAUAUAUUGAAGGUUGUUUGUCCUAAGCCGAAGGAAGUUUAAUGUAACAUAAUGAAAAAAAAAUUUUCUAACGCCAGGACGCACAGUUCUUUUAUGAUAUUUAGAGCACGAAUACUGUCAGUAUCAUUUUGGAGAAAAAAAAUAGUAAAAAAGAAAAGAGUGUUAAGAUACAAUUAGUACAGUGAAAUAUUGAUUCUGAGCUUAUUUAUAUAAGAUAUUUGAAUGAAACCAAUUCGUUAUUUACGACAAAAGGGUGCAAUGAAUUAUUUGAAUACAAUUAAAGAUUUAUUAUUGGAUGCGUUAUAACUAUCGAUUAUUAGUAUCAGCAAGUACAUAUACAAAUUGCUUCCAUAUUUUUUUCUAUUAAAAAUAAAUUUAAACAAACUUUCAUCAGGGAUCAUUCUGUCAACUGAAUUGCUUUAAAUAACAUAAUGUUUAUAGAUUAAUUAUAGUUCAAUAUUUUCACUUUUUUUUUAAAAUAACAUAUAAUACCAUAAUAUUAAGUAGUUAUUUAGCAAUUACUCUUAGAACUGGUUGAAACUUAUAGUCUGUAAAUCCGGUCAGUUAAGUGUUAAAAUACUAUAUGUACAUUUUUUUAUCAUUUUGUUAAACUCGCAGUAAUGUUAAAUAUUAUGUAUUUGAUUAAAUUAAUAAGAAUGGUCUCUGAUGAUAGUGUUUGAGUUUCAAAUUGAUUUUGAGCGUUACUUUCCUUUUUAUAACAUUUUAUAACUGAAAAAUGGUUGUAAUAAUACAAAAUAAAUAAUUACAUAAGUAUAUUUUUUAUUUUUAAACGCUCAGAAUCUGGGAUGAAUAAUUAUUUGAAGCUCUUCCCUUAUAAUUGUCAUGUUAAUUUUUAUGCAUAUGUAGAGAGAAAAAAAAUAUUUCUACGACUUACACGUAAUUUCUUACCAGACGACAAUUUUUUCAUCAUUUGAUUUUACUUUUAAUAUUAAGAUGAUUUAAUGAAAAUUAUAAUAAUAAUAUGAAAAUGUUGAAAUAUAAAAUAAAUU
RNAcentral lists this unclassified non-coding RNA (2268 nucleotides) under Chelonus insularis. RNAcentral describes it as "longitudinals lacking protein-like, transcript variant X2". Lineage: Eukaryota; Metazoa; Arthropoda; Insecta; Hymenoptera; Braconidae. The record is from RNAcentral.